This 731-nucleotide long non-coding RNA is filed under the name Manacus vitellinus (golden-collared manakin). RNAcentral describes it as "lncRNA (ENSMVIG00005011612.1)". The record is from RNAcentral. Lineage: Eukaryota; Metazoa; Chordata; Aves; Passeriformes; Pipridae.
UGACUUUCUUAGGAUGCUUUCUAGAGAGCCUAGUUCCCUUUUUGCACAAUCAGGUUUCUGGAUUUGUGAUGCAAGCAUUUAAACUUUCCAUAGCCUAGUCAACUCAUGGUUCAGGAGGCCACAUAUCCUUUGAAGUAAUUUCCCCAAUUCCAUUCUCACAUCUUGUUGCCUGAUCCAUACAUGCUAUUCUAUUUUUAUGCAGAGUGGAUUAUUUAUCCACUCUGCUGUGUGGCUAUUCCUCGUUGUUCUGUCUGAUGCUAAAAGUCCUUUCCUCAACUGGCUAGGUUUUGCUUCUUGCUGUUUUACUUCUUUCUUCAUGUACAGCUCUGCCUAAUUCACAAGAUUAUCCAAUGAACAUGAAUUUAGUCUCCUUCUGGUUAAUCAUCAUCUAACCUGCCAAAGUGUGUUUCAUGGGUUUCCAUAUUUUUACAGAUGGCUUUUAGGCCACAAAAACAGAGUGUACCUUGGAGUCAUCAAACUGGAAAAACAAUCAAGACCUGCUCAGUCCAUCUUCCCAGGGCCAGUGAAGGAUGGUGUGUGCAUCACGUCUAGUGUUUUGUCUAGACACAGCCUCUCUCUGUUCCCUGCCCCAAUGAACGUCUGCACUAGGUCCAAGGCUUGGAGUAAUUUACCUGAAGAGUGAUACCAUUUGGAAACCACUGUAAGUAUAUUUUAUCUCUUAUAAAAGACUUCUUGUUCAGCAAAAAAAAAGACAUCUUAAAAAAACAAAA